This is a long non-coding RNA of Armigeres subalbatus, 291 nucleotides long. RefSeq lists it as uncharacterized. The transcript is spliced from 3 exons. The record is from RefSeq and is a predicted model, not a curated record. NCBI's taxonomy places the organism in Eukaryota, Metazoa, Arthropoda, Insecta, Diptera, Culicidae.
AAACAAAUAGAAUUCUGUUGCUUGACUUGCCAGAGUCACUUGUUUGAUAUGUGAUAUCGAAAUGUAUUCGUGUUGAAUUUCGUUUGUUAUAACAAAAAUGCUGAACCACACCAACCAGCAUUAACGAACUGAGGCCGAAGAGUUUGUUCUAGGACAGAUCACCAAGAAAUUCAAAGGAUUGCAGCCGGAAAACGUGAUUGGUUCGGUGCUGAUGCCUACCAAUAACAGGAAGCCGCCAUGAAGUACGUACGUCGCAAAGGAUAUUCCGAGGAACCGAUACUGAGGAUUCGU